GCGAGGUAGAGCAAAUCUCAAAAAAACAAUCUCAGUUCAGACUGCAGGCUGCAACUCGCCUGCACGAAGUCGGAAUUGCUAGUAAUCGUAGGUCAGCAUACUACGGUGAAUACGUUCCCGGGCCUUGUACACACCGCCCGUCAAACCAUGAGAGUUGGCAACACCCGAAGUCGGUAGUCUAACCGCAAGGAGGACGCCGCCGAAGGUGGGGUUGAUGAUUAGGGUUAAGUCGUAACAAGGUAAC
RNAcentral lists this ribosomal RNA (244 nucleotides) under uncultured bacterium. Its description in RNAcentral is "partial 16S ribosomal RNA". It matches the Rfam family "Bacterial small subunit ribosomal RNA", at positions 1257 to 1500 of the family's 1533-position model. The record is from RNAcentral.